Molecule: ribosomal RNA, 507 nt
Filed under: uncultured bacterium
Lineage: Bacteria
Description: bacterial SSU rRNA
Rfam family: Bacterial small subunit ribosomal RNA
Source: RNAcentral
AGAGUUUGAUUCUGGCGUCAGGAUGAACGCUGGCGGCGUGCUUAACACAUGCAAGUCGAACGGAGUAUUAACGGAGUUUCGGAUGGAAGUUUAAGAACUUAGUGGCGGACGGGUGAGUAACGCGUGGGUAACCUGCCUCAUACAGGGGGAUAACAGUUAGAAAUGACUGCUAACACCGCAUAAUAUAGCGAAACCGCAUGAUUUUGCUAUCAAAUAUUUAUAGGUAUGAGAUGGGCCCGCGUCUGAUUAGCUAGUUGGUGGGGUAAAAGCCUACCAAGGCGACGAUCAGUAGCCGGCUUGAGAGAGUGACCGGCCACAUUGGGACUGAGACACGGCCCAAACUCCUACGGGAGGCAGCAGUGGGGAAUAUUGGACAAUGGGGGAAACCCUGAUCCAGCGACGCCCGCGUGAGUGAAGAAGUAUUUCGGUAUGUAAAGCUCUAUCAGCAGGGAAGAUAAUGACAGUACCUGACUAAGAAGCCCCGGCUAACUACGUGCCAGCAGCAGC